Molecule: ribosomal RNA, 465 nt
Filed under: uncultured bacterium
Lineage: Bacteria
Description: partial 16S ribosomal RNA
Rfam family: Bacterial small subunit ribosomal RNA
Source: RNAcentral
GACGAACGCUGGCGGCGUGCUUAACACAUGCAAGUCGAACGGAAAGGCCCCUUCGGGGGUACUCGAGUGGCGAACAGGUGAGUAACACGUGAGUAACCUGCCCUUGACUUCGGGAUAACUUCAGGAAACUGGGGCUAAUACCGGAUAGGAAUCCUUGCUGCAUGGUGGGGGUUGGAAAGCUUCGGCGGUUUUGGAUGGACUCGCGGCUUAUCAGCUUGUUGGUGGGGUAGUGGCUUACCAAGGCUUUGACGGGUAGCCGGCCUGAGAGGGCGACCGGCCACAUUGGGACUGAGAUACGGCCCAGACUCCUACGGGAGGCAGCAGUGGGGAAUAUUGCACAAUGGGCGGAAGCCUGAUGCAGCAACGCCGCGUGCGGGAUGACGGCCUUCGGGUUGUAAACCGCUUUCAGCAGGGGCGAAGCUUGUGGUGACGGUACCUGCAGAAGGAGCACCGGCUAACUACGUG